UCAAGUUAUUAAGGGUGCAGGGCGGAUGCCUUGGCACUAGGAGCCGAUGAAGGACGUGAUAAGCUGCGAUAAGCUUCGGGGAGUUGCACGUAAACUUUGAUCCGAAGAUUUCCGAAUGAGGAAACUCACUUAGAGUAAUGUCUAAGUAUCAUUAAGUGAAUACAUAGCUUAAUGAGGGGAACUCAGGGAACUGAAACAUCUAAGUACCUGAAGGAAGAGAAAGAAAUUCGAUUCCGUAAGUAGCGGCGAGCGAACGCGGAUUAGCCCAAACCAAUAAAGUUUUCUUUAUUGGGGUUGCGGACAUAUCAUAACGAAGAGGUAUCGUAAUUGAAGAGGUUUGGAAAGACCCACCACAGAAGGUAAUAGUCCUGUAUGUUAAACGAGAAGACUUCAGAUAUGAUCCAGAGUACCACGGGACACGUGAAACCCUGUGGGAAGCAGGAGGGACCACCCUCCAAGGCUAAAUACUACCUAGUGACCGAUAGCGUAUAGUACCGUGAGGGAAAGGUGAAAAGAACCCCGGGAGGGGAGUGAAAUAGAACCUGAAACCCUGCACUUACAAGCUGUGGAAGCACAUUUCUUGUGUGACCGCGUACUUUUUGUAGAACGGGCCAACGAGUUACGUUAAGUAGCAAGGUUAAGCACUUAAGGUGCGGAGCCGUAGCGAAAGCGAGUUUUAACUGAGCGUUCAGUUACUUGACGUAGACCCGAAACCGGGCGACCUACCCAUGAGCAGGAUGAAGCGAAAGUAAAAUUUCGUGGAGGUCCGAACCCACGAGCGUUGAAAAGCUCGGGGAUGACUUGUGGGUAGCGGUGAAAUUCCAAUCGAGCCCGGAGAUAGCUGGUUCUCCCCGAAAUAGCUUUAGGGCUAGCCUCAAGGUGAGAGAUACGGAGGUAGAGCACUGAAUGUCCUAGGGGGUAUUGCACCUACCGAAGACUAUCAAACUCCGAAUGCCGUCAUCUUAUACUUGGGAGUCAGACUGUGGGUGAUAAGAUUCAUAGUCGAAAGGGCAACAGCCCAGAUCGUCAGCUAAGGUCCCUAAAUGUAAGUUAAGUGGUAAAGGAUGUGGGAUUGCACAGACAACCAGGAUGUUGGCUUAGAAGCAGCCACUCAUUCAAAGAGUGCGUAAUAGCUCACUGGUCGAGUGAUCCUGCGCCGAAGAUUUCCGGGGCUAAAACUUACUACCGAAGCUACGGCAUCAGUAAUGAUGGGUAGGGGAGCUUCCCAUACGGGUUGAAGCAUGACCGUAAGGACAUGUGGACAGUAUGGGAGUGAGAAUGUUGGCAUGAGUAGCGAGAUGUGGGUGAGAAUCCCACAGGCCGUAAACCCAAGGUUUCCAGGGGAAGGUUCGUCCGCCCUGGGUUAGUCGGGACCUAAGCUGAGGCCGAAAGGCGUAGGUGAUGGACAACAGGUUGAUAUUCCUGUACUACCGAUAACCGUUUGAGAGAAGGGAUGACACAGUAGGAUAAGCUAAGCACACUGUUGGUUAUGUGUGCCCAAGCAUUGAGGCAGUCAAAGUAGGCAAAUCCGCUUUGAUAAUGCUGGGAUGUGAUGGGGAGCGAAAUUUAGUAGCGAAGUAGCUGAUUUCACACUGUCAAGAAAAGUCUCUAUCGAGGUUAAAGGUACCCGUACCGCAAACCGACACAGGUGGGUGAGGAGAGUAUCCUAAGGCCAGCGAGAGAACUGUUGUUAAGGAACUCGGCAAAAUGACCCCGUAACUUAGGGAUAAGGGGUGCCACCAUCAGGUGGCCGCAGAGAAUAGGCCCAAGCGACUGUUUACCAAAAACAUAGGUUUCUGCUAAGUCGCAAGACGAUGUAUAGGAGCUGACGCCUGCCCGGUGCUGGAAGGUUAAGGGGAUCUGUUAGAGCAAUCGAAGCAGUGAACUUAAGCCCCAGUAAACGGCGGCCGUAACUAUAACGGUCCUAAGGUAGCGAAAUUCCUUGUCGGGUAAGUUCCGACCCGCACGAAAGGCGUAACGAUUUGGGCACUGUCUCAACAACAGACUCGGUGAAAUUGUAAUUCCGGUGAAGAUGCCGGAUACCUGCGACAGGACGGAAAGACCCCAUGGAGCUUUACUGUAGCUUGACAUUGGGUCUUGGUACUACAUGUACAGGAUAGGUGGGAGGCUUUGAAACCAGGACGCCAGUUUUGGCGGAGCCAUCCUUGGGAUACCACCCUUGUAGUACUGGGACUCUAACCAUAGGCCAUGAAUCUGGUCUUGGGACACUGUCAGGUGGGCAGUUUGACUGGGGCGGUCGCCUCCCAAAAGGUAACGGAGGCGCUCAAAGGUUCUCUCAGUACGGUCGGAAAUCGUACGUAGAGUGUAAAGGCAAAAGAGAGCUUGAUUGCAAGACAUACAGGUCGAGCAAGGAUGAAAAUCGGACUUAGUGAUCCGGUGGUUCUGCGUGGAAGGGCCAUCGCUCAACGGAUAAAAGCUACCCUGGGGAUAACAGGCUUAUCUCCCCCAAGAGUCCACAUCGACGGGGAGGUUUGGCACCUCGAUGUCGGCUCAUCACAUCCUGGGGCUGUAGUAGGUCCCAAGGGUUGGGCUGUUCGCCCAUUAAAGUGGUACGCGAGCUGGGUUCAGAACGUCGUGAGACAGUUCGGUCCCUAUCCGUCGCAGGCGUAGGAAAUUUGAGAAGACCUGUCCUUAGUACGAGAGGACCGGGAUGGACGUACCUCUGGUGUACCAGUUGUCCUGCCAAGGGCAUGGCUGGGUAGCUAUGUACGGAAUGGAUAAGCGCUGAAAGCAUCUAAGCGCGAAGCCAACUUCAAGAUAAGAUUUCCCACCGCAAGGGUAAGACCCCAGAAAGACUAUCUGGUUGAUAGGUCGAAGGUGUAAGUGCAG
Molecule: ribosomal RNA, 2850 nt
Filed under: Clostridioides difficile
Lineage: Bacteria; Bacillati; Bacillota; Clostridia; Peptostreptococcales; Peptostreptococcaceae
Description: bacterial LSU rRNA
Rfam family: Bacterial large subunit ribosomal RNA
Source: RNAcentral